RNAcentral lists this ribosomal RNA (519 nucleotides) under uncultured bacterium. RNAcentral's name for it is "bacterial SSU rRNA". It matches the Rfam family "Archaeal small subunit ribosomal RNA", at positions 345 to 866 of the family's 1478-position model. The record is from RNAcentral.
AACCUCCGCAAUGUGAGAAAUCGCGACGGGGGGAUCCCAAGUGCCAUUCUUAACGGGAUGGCUUUUCAUUAGUGUAAAGAGCUUUUGGAAUAAGAGCUGGGCAAGACCGGUGCCAGCCGCCGCGGUAACACCGGCAGCUCUAGUGGUAACAAUUUUUAUUGGGCCUAAAGCGUCCGUAGCCGGUUUAAUAAGUCUCUGGUGAAAUCCUGUAGCUUAACUGUGGGAAUUGCUGGAGAUACUAUCAGACUUGAAGCCGGGAGAGGUUAGAGGUACUACCGGGGUAGGGUGAAAUCCUAUAAUCCUGGGAGGACCACCUGUGGCGAAGGCGUCUAACUGGAACGAUCUUGACGGUGAGUAACGAAAGCCAGGGGCGCGAACCGGAUUAGAUACCCGGGUAGUCCUAACCGUAAACGAUGCGGACUUGGUGUUGGGGUGGCUUUGAGCUGCUCCAGUGCCGAAGGGAAGCUGUUAAGUCCGCCGCCUGGGAAGUACGGUCGCAAGACUGAAACUUAAGGAAUU